GCUCAGAGCGAACGCUGGCGGCAGGCUUAACACAUGCAAGUCGAGCGCCCCGCAAGGGGAGCGGCAGACGGGUGAGUAACACGUGGGAACGUACCUUUCGGUUCGGGACAACCCAGGGAAACUUGGGCUAAUACCGGAUACGCCCUUCGGGGGAAAGAUUUAUCGCCGAAAGAUCGGCCCGCGUCCGAUUAGCUAGUUGGUGAGGUAACGGCUCACCAAGGCGACGAUCGGUAGCUGGUCUGAGAGGAUGAUCAGCCACAUUGGGACUGAGACACGGCCCAAACUCCUACGGGAGGCAGCAGUGGGGAAUAUUGGACAAUGGGCGCAAGCCUGAUCCAGCCAUGCCGCGUGGGUGAUGAAGGCCCUAGGGUUGUAAAGCCCUUUCAGCGGGGAAGAUAAUGACGGUACCCGCAGAAGAAGCCCCGGCUAACUUCGUGCCAGCAGCCGCGGUAAUACGAAGGGGGCUAGC
This 469-nucleotide ribosomal RNA is filed under the name uncultured Alphaproteobacteria bacterium. RNAcentral's name for it is "bacterial SSU rRNA". It matches the Rfam family "Bacterial small subunit ribosomal RNA", at positions 22 to 539 of the family's 1533-position model. The record is from RNAcentral. Lineage: Bacteria; Pseudomonadati; Pseudomonadota; Alphaproteobacteria.